AUGAUCUGCUGUCUUCUGGUUCAGAUGCAUAAAUCAAUUAUUAGGAAAGAUGCUUACCUGAAGCGAACCUUAUUGUCGUCUGGGUUCGGGUGUCCUCUCUGCCCCAAUUUCAAGACAGAAAGUGAUGAAGUGAUCCAGAGGCACUUGAGCAACCACAGUGCAAAUGCUGUUAUUUUCCAGGACAAAUUCUGCAUCUGCAGGUGCAACUUAUCCUGCAGGGCUGGAGGCCACUUCCAUUGUCCUUUUUGUGACGGCACUAUUAUGCGUAAAGACGAUAUGGUGUCACAUCUGUAUGUGUGUCCAAAUGAAUGUAAAAUGAUUCAGCCUUCUCUGGUGGACUCUUGUAAGUCACCUUCACCAGAGACCUCGCCCCAUGAAGUGAACCAGAGGCAUUUGAGAAACCACAAUGCAAAUGAGGUUCUUUUCAAGGGUUUUUAUAUGUUGUUUGGAUCAAGUAAUGUGAUCCAACCCACACUGGAGAAAUGUUGUGAGCCAUCUUCAACAGAAACCCAGUCUUUAAAAGAGGAUCUAUCACCAGUGCAUAAAUCAAUUAUUAGGAAAGAUGCAUACCUGAAGCGAACCCUGUUAUCAUCUGGGUUUGGGUGUCCUCUCUGCCCCAAUUUCCAGACAGAAAGUGAUGAAGUGAUCCAGAGGCAUUUGAGGAACCACAAUACAAAUGCUAUUAUUUUCCAGGACAAAUUCUGCAUCUGCCGGUGCAAAUUGUUCUGUCAUUUUGAAGGCCACUUCCAUUGUCCUUUUUGUGGUGGGACAGUAACUAAAAAGAAAGAUAUGACAUUCCAUCUUACCACUUGUCCAAACAAAAGUAACGUGAUCCAACCCACACUGGAGAAUUCUUCUGCAGACCACUCCUACCGGCAAGCAGCAUCACCAAAGACCCUGACACCUGCCACGGAUUUUGAUCAGACAACUGCUACCACCUCAGAAAAACCCACAAUUCAAGAGAGAGAAGUAAUUCUGCCACUGACCAAGGCUGAAAGUGAUGAAGUGAUCCAGAAACUCUUGAGAAACCACAAUGCAAAUGCAGUUCAUUUCCAGGACUUGUCUAGUAGAGUUGGAGGCCACUUCCAUCCUUCUUUUUGUGACAGUACAAUAACUACCAAGGACUUGAUGUUCCAUCUUACCACGUGUCCAGAUAAAAGUAAUGUGAUCCAACCCACACUGGUGGAAUCUUACAAAUUCUGCGUCUGCAGGUGCAACUCAUCUGCAGACCACUUCCAUUGUCCUUUUUGUGACGACACAAUCAUUCGUAAGGAAGAUAUGAUAUUACAUCUGAAUGUGUGUCCAAAUAAAAAUAAGUCAACCCAAUCCACAUUGGUGGAAUCUGCAGACCACUCUUAUGCAAAAGCAGCUUUACCCAAGACCCCCACACCUGUCACAGAUUUUGAUCAGACAACUCCUGCUACUACCUCAGACCAACUCAUGAUUCAGGAGGAGGAAGUGACUGUGCCACUGACCAACGUGCAUGAAUCAGUUAUUAGGAAUGAUACGGACCUGAAGCAAAGCCUGCUAACAUCUGGGUUUGAGUGUCCUCUCUGCCCCAAUUUCAAGACUCAAAGUGAUCGAGUGAUCCAGACGCAUUUGAGCAACCACAUUGCAAAUGGAGUGCAUUUCCAGGAAAACGUAAUCUGCAGGUGCAAUUUGCCUUGUAGAGCUGGAGGCCACUUUCAUUGUCUUUUUUGUGACAAGACACUAACUAACAAGGACAGUAUGGCAUUACAUCUGAUCAGAUGUCAAAACAAAAGUACAGUGGUCCAACCCGCACUGGUGGAACCUCCACCAGAGACGCAGCCUUUAAUAGACCCUCUGGAACCAUCAGGGAGUGAAGACCACUCGGUGUCCUCACAAACUGCAGAUCAUGCUUUCACACAAACUCCCACACUCAUCACAGCUUUUGAUCAGACAACUCCUGCUACUACCUCAGACCAACUCAUGAUUCAGGAGGAGGAAGUGACUGUGCCACUGACCAACGUAAAGUGUCCUCACUGCUAUAUUAUUCUAUACAAGCAGAAUUUGGGAGAAUAUAUCAAUAUGAGACAUAGCCAACUUAGAAAUGACAACAUUAUAGAGGGAUUGAAUAAAAAUGUUUUAGUCUGUUUUAUAAGCAUGUGGAUACAAGUUGAGAGCUGUAGUUCAUCUUACUAUAUUUGACUUUUAGGUAGAUAAAGGAUUAUCAAUGUUCAGCCUGUCAGUUUUUAUAACAAACCAAUGUUUACUAAGUGAUCUGUUUUUUUCUGGUUCAGGUGCAUAAAUCAAUUACUUGGAAAGAUACAUACCUGGAGCGAACCCUGUUACCAUCUGGGUUUGGGUGUCCUCUCUGCCCGUAUUUCAACACUGUAAAUGAUGACGUAAUCGAGAGGCAUCUGAGAAACCACAAUGAAAAUGGAGUGCAUUUCCAGG
Long non-coding RNA from Nothobranchius furzeri (turquoise killifish), 2418 nucleotides. The record is from Ensembl. Lineage: Eukaryota; Metazoa; Chordata; Actinopteri; Cyprinodontiformes; Nothobranchiidae.